Molecule: long non-coding RNA, 308 nt
Organism: Drosophila obscura
Lineage: Eukaryota; Metazoa; Arthropoda; Insecta; Diptera; Drosophilidae
Exons: 3
Source: RefSeq, a predicted model, not a curated record
UGACAAUUGAUAGACAGACAAACAUUUAGCCUUAAAUCAACCCAACAAUUUCAGUGGAAGGAAAAUGCAAACUGACAGAGCCAACGUUUGGCUGGAAUUCCUUUGGCUGCCCCCUCUGCUGGAGUUUGGCAUAUCAAAACAGAUACUCUGCUUGUUGGCCAAAUCAAAAUUAAUUAAAAGCGGACUUUGUACAAUGAAAUGCCAGAGGCCAAACUCAUCGUGGCUGAACAUACUGCACAAACUAUUGUAAGUAGCUGCUGCAGCCGCAUGCCCAGCGAAGGUGCCAUGUUCAUAAUUCAGGAGUCCGG